UGGGGAAUAUUGGACAAUGGGGGGAACCCUGAUCCAGCCAUGCCGCGUGUGUGAAGAAGGCCUUAUGGUUGUAAAGCACUCUAAGCGAGGAGGAGGCUCUCUUGGUUAAUACCCAAGAAGAGUGGACGUUACUCGCAGAAUAAGCACCGGCUAACUCUGUGCCAGCAGCCGCGGUAAUACAGAGGGUGCGAGCGUUAAUCGGAUUUACUGGGCGUAAAGCGUGCGUAGGCGGCGUUUUAAGUCGGAUGUGAAAUCCCCGAGCUUAACUUGGGAAUUGCAUUCGAUACUGAGAAGCUAGAGUAUGGGAGAGGAUGGUAGAAUUCCAGGUGUAGCGGUGAAAUGCGUAGAGAUCUGGAGGAAUACCGAUGGCGAAGGCAGCCAUCUGGCCUAAUACUGACGCUGAGGUACGAAAGCAUGGGGAGCAAACAGG
RNAcentral lists this ribosomal RNA (430 nucleotides) under Bacillota bacterium. Its description in RNAcentral is "Firmicutes bacterium partial 16S ribosomal RNA". It matches the Rfam family "Bacterial small subunit ribosomal RNA", at positions 355 to 776 of the family's 1533-position model. The record is from RNAcentral. Lineage: Bacteria; Bacillati; Bacillota.